GUGAGGAAUAUUGGACAAUGGAUGGAAAUCUGAUCCAGCCAUGCCGCGUGCAGGAAGACGGCCCUAUGGGUUGUAAACUGCUUUUAUACGGGAGCAAUAAGGUCUAUGCAUAGAUUGAUGAGAGUACCGUAUGAAUAAGCAUCGGCUAACUCCGUGCCAGCAGCCGCGGUAAUACGGAGGAUGCGAGCGUUAUCCGGAUUUAUUGGGUUUAAAGGGUGCGUAGGCGGCUUUGUAAGUCAGCGGUGAAAUUUUGCAGCUUAACUGUAAAAGCGCCGUUGAUACUGUGAAGCUAGGAUUUGGUUGCUGUGGGCGGAAUGUGUGGUGUAGCGGUGAAAUGCAUAGAGAUCACACAGAAUAUCGAUUGCGAAGGCAGCUCACAAAGCCAAUAUUGACGCUGAGGCACGAAAGUGUGGGGAUCAAACAGGAUUAGAAACCCCAGUAGUCC
Molecule: ribosomal RNA, 445 nt
Filed under: uncultured bacterium
Lineage: Bacteria
Description: partial 16S ribosomal RNA
Rfam family: Bacterial small subunit ribosomal RNA
Source: RNAcentral